Molecule: long non-coding RNA, 2927 nt
Filed under: Citrus x clementina
Lineage: Eukaryota; Viridiplantae; Streptophyta; Magnoliopsida; Sapindales; Rutaceae
Description: Citrus clementina (C. clementina) long non-coding RNA (CCLE_LNC001879)
Source: RNAcentral
UACCAAUAAUACAUCAUUUUACCACUCCUAUAUUAAUUUACUUAUUUUACAUUCUAUUUACAUAUUUCAUAUCUUAUUUAUUCAAUUUAUGUUUUAUUUUACACUUAAUAUUGAUUUACAAGUUUUUAUAUUAUAUUGAUAAUUUUUUGUUUUAUUUACCAAUAAUAUAUUAAGUUACAACUAUUUUGUCUUUCAUUUAUAAGUCUUACGUUUCAUUUGCAUCAUUUAUGUUUUAGUUUACACUCAAUGUUGAUUUACAAGUUUUAUAUUAAGUUUAUAAGUUUUUGUUUUAUUUACCAAUAAUAUGUCAAUUUACCAAUUUUAUGUUGAUUCACUUGUUUUACAUUUUAUUUACAAGUCUUGUGUUUUAUUUACUUAAUUUAUAUUUUAUUUUACACUUGAUGUUAAUUUAGAAGUUUUAUGUUACAUCUAUAGGUUUUUGUUUUGUUUACCAAUAAUAGACCAAUUUUACCACUCCCAUGUUAAUUUACUUUUUUAUCUUUUAUUCACAAGCCUUAUAUUCUAUUUACAUAAUUUAUGCUUUGUUUUACACCUAAUAUUGAUUUAAAAGCUUUAUGUUACAUUUAUAUAUCUUAUGUUUCAUUUAUACAAUUUAUAUUUAAUUACGGUAUGAAUAUCGUGGUUUUAAUUACGGCAUUAUAAAAUCACCCAAUAACUAAUCUUUGUAAAGCAGUGCAAAAACAAAAGCUUAAACGAAAACUUCACUUUUUUUUUUUUUUUUGGUAUUUGUAUACUUUUUCCAGUUUUUUGUAGGUAAUAGAUGAAUAGAUACUAGGCAAUGAAUACAGCAAGUUUUGUAUAUGUAUUUUGUAUCUUAAACAUUAAUGACAAACUUCUCGGACUCUGACGCCCUCUGCAUUUUGUCUUUGUUCUCUUGGCCGCCAAAUACUCAUAAAAUUCAUCGAGAUCUCAAAUAUUUACAACGUUAACAACGUACUCAAUCUUCAGUCUUCAGUCUCAAAUACUUGAGUAACAGCAGGAUUCACUUGGCAAUGUACCUGAAUAAUUAUCCAAGACAAUUCAUUUUUUGGACACCUGCCAAGAUAUGUGAGGGGCCUUUACGUUCCAUUUUGAAUUUGUAGUUUUUUGGCCCUUUGUUCUAUUAUUAGAACAUUAAUGGGUUUGAUUUGUUCUCCUAAUCGAUUUGAAAGCCCUGUACGGCUAUAUUCUCUCAAUGGAACCCCAAUGGGCUUGAUUUGUUAUCUCAUAUUUUUUUGAAUUGAGCCCCUAACACCAUUUUACAAUAAUAUACAUAAUUUAUUUUACAUAAAUGAACAAAAUAAUAUACAAUAGAGUUACUUAAAUUUUUAAUAUACUUUUUAUAAUAAAUUUAAGCAAUUUAUUACUUCAUUGGCUCAAAAUUCUUUUACAUUUAUUUAAAAAAUAAAUAACACUAUAAAUUAGGAUUUAAAGAUGGAAGGUUCGAAAUUUGCAGGAGCAUAGAUAUUUUAAUUUACUUAAAUUCAGAAUUGUCCAUUUAUCUUAUUUCCUCUAACAAUAGAAUUAUGAUUACAAAAAUAGGAUUUUGUAAGGAUUUUAAAGGAGUGUGAAAAGCAUUACUCUUAUUUUUUACAUCCUUUGUUCUCUUCCGGAUCUUUUUCUAGGUUGCCGAUGCUAAUAAAUUUGCACAAGGAUUUUAUCGAUAGGCUAUGUUUUUGGAUAUUUGCGCUUGGGCAUUCUUAUAUAUAUUUGCCCUUGGGCAAUUUUCUAGAGACCCGAUUAUGGCUUUUUAAACCCCAACCAUUUUUGCAGAAAUUGGCUUCAGGGCAUUAUUCGCAAAAAAGUUUCUCUUCAGCUUCUUCUUUGGAGCAUUCUUAUAGGAAUAGGCCUUAGGAGUUUGUUGUAGAGAAUGACCCAAGGGUAUUUCUCGUAAAAAUUUGUCCAUAGGAAUUUUUGUAGAAACUCGUAAGGAUAGGUCAUAGAAUAUUUUGUUAAAAUGCGUGUCCUUAAGCAUUUUGUAGAAACUCGUAGAAAUUGGUGCUAGCCUCUAGGGGAUUCCUGUUAAAAUGAUAUAUACUUGGUGUUCGGUUGAAAGAAUUGUAAGGAGCGAAAGCAAUAGAAAAGAGAGAGGGGGAGAGAAAAUUAGGAAAAAAAUAAUAUGAAUUUCAAUUUCAUUAUUUGUUUUGACAUGAAAUUAUCUAAUCUUCCUUUAUUUCUUUCUCCUUCUCUCUUACCCUCUCCUUCCUUUUCUUUUCAUUUCUUCAAAUCAAACAUACCAAUAACAACAUUUCUGGGCUAGGGAUGGCAAUGGAUUGGAUCUGACCCAAGAUCCAUGUGAUCCAAAUCCAAUCGGAUUGGAUUUGGGUCAGUUUAAAAUGAAUUUGGAUCGGAUGUGGAUAUCGAUGUGCGGAUCUAAGACGGAUCUAGAGCAAGUCUGGAUCUAUCUUAAUAUCUAAAUCCAUAUCCAUAUCUUCUCAUCUUUUAAUUUUAUUUUAUUUUAAAAGUUUCUUAACAAUUGUGGAAUUAUAAUGAUAAUAAAUUUUAUUCAUAGCAUAUUAGUGGUAUUUACCAUACAUUUAAACUCUUAAAACUUAAAGGUUAGUUUUGUAAAUUUAAAUGUUAGCCAGCCCCAAAACAUGUACAUGUAAUAUUUAAAUUGCAAGCCAAGUAAUACUACCUGACAAUUUAUUUUAUUAUAUUGGCCAAAUAAUUUUUAAGGAAUAUAGUUAUUCAUAUAUUUAGUCAAAUACGGUCAUAAUAAAAAUAAUAAAGGACUGACUAUAAAUUAUAUUUAAUUUACAUGUCAUUAUCUAAUGUUGUAGGAAUGAGGGUAGGUGUGUCGUAUAUAUUAGAAUGAUGAAGGAGACAAUAGAAUAUUAUAUUGAUCUUACUCCUGCAAUUACUUUUAAAUGAUAUUUUAUUAUCUUUCUUAUUUGUUAUUUUGGUAUAAAAGUAUAAGCUACAAU